UACGUAGGGGGCAAGCGUUGUCCGGAAUUAUUGGGCGUAAAGAGCUCGUAGGCGGUGUGUCACGUCGGCCGUGAAAACCUGCAGCUUAACUGUGGGCGUGCGGUCGAUACGGGCAUCACUGGAGUUCGGCAGGGGAGACUGGAAUUCCUGGUGUAGCGGUGAAAUGCGCAGAUAUCAGGAGGAACACCGAUGGCGAAGGCAGGUCUCUGGGCCGAUACUGACGCUGAGGAGCGAAAGCGUGGGGAGCGAACAGG
Molecule: ribosomal RNA, 254 nt
Filed under: uncultured bacterium
Lineage: Bacteria
Description: partial 16S ribosomal RNA
Rfam family: Bacterial small subunit ribosomal RNA
Source: RNAcentral